GCAGAUUGAAGUAGAAACUGUUGACAGAACAGGUACUUUUUUGGGAUCUUUGUGGGAGUCAAGAUCCAAUGUCGCAUUGAUACUACUCGAAGCUGGUUUGGCCAGGCUUCAAACCUCUUUUGGUACAGAUAGGAUACCUGAUAUCCACCUGCUUGUGCAGGCUGAGCAGUCUGCUAAGAAGCAGAAAUUGAAGGUGAGAUUGAGAAUUGUUAUCCUAGCACAACUAUCCCACUUUCUAAUGUUUCUUAUAGUUUCUUUUUCUUCUUGUUGAAGAUUUGGGAGAACUAUGUUGAAGGAGAAGAAGUUUCUAAUGGCCCAACUUCUGAAAGAAAGAAAGAAGAAUUUAAGGUAUAAAUUUAAUAUUUGAUCAAUUCAGCUAAGUACUUGUCAGAUGAUCAAUAAAGUUGUGACAUAGUUUACUUGUAUAUACUCUCAGGUAGUGGUUACUGAAGUCCUUGGCGGUGGAAAGUUUUAUGUUCAGCCAGCAGAUCAGAAAGUGGCAUCCAUUCAGCAGCAGCUUGCUUCUUUGACACUCCAGGAGGCUCCUUUGAUCGGUGCUUUCAAUCCAAAGAAAGGCGACCUUGUCCUUGCACAGUUUAGUGCGGAUAAUUCCUGGAACCGAGCAAUGGUGAGAGUGACAUCAUAAUACCACACUUUUUGCUCCUUUUUCUUUCCUUUAUCUGCAUGCAUAGUGCAAAAUUAUAUCUUUGUUAUUUCUAUGAUGACUUUCUAAAAUUUUCCUGUUAUCCAAUACCUGAAGAUUGUGAAUGCCCCUCGAGGUGUCGUUGAAUCUCCAAAAGACAAAUUUGAAGUGUUUUACAUUGACUAUGGAAAUCAAGAAAUGGUUUCUUUCAGCCAAUUGCGACCUGUUGAUUCUUCCGUGUCUUCGUCACCUGGCCUUGCGCAACUGUGCUGUCUUGCUUAUGUAAAGGUUCCAAGUUUGGAGGAGGAUUAUGGGCAGGAAGCAGCUUUUAGUCUGAGCGAGCACACACUUAGUGGGCCAAAAGAGUUUAAGGCUGUUGUUGUAGAGAGGGAUGCGUCUGGCGGAAAAGUCAAAGGACAAGGAACUGGUACUGUCCUUAUGGUAACUUUGAUUGAUGAGGAGGCUAAUGAAAGCAUAAAUUCCCGCAUGUUGAAGGUAUGUUUUUAUCUCCUGUGGCUAAUUAAGAAUACAAACAUGUAAACUUUUUCUUGUGAAAUCCCUAUCCAUGGGAUUUUCAAUGUGCUUACCUUCUUACAAACUUGUUUCAAAAUUAUAUAUGGAUAGUCAACUGAUAUUUUUACUUUUUACAAUGUAUUUACUCUGGGGGUUUUCCAUUCCACAGCUAAAUUAUUAAGCUAUGGCAUCUCUUCUACUUUGUAUUGCAUAUUGUAAGGGAAGACCUCCCUUCUGUAUGUGGACAUUCUCUUCCAAUAAUUGACAUGUAACAUUUUGCAGGAAGGACUUGCUAGGUUGGAGAAGCGGAGGAGAUGGGAGCCGGUCGAAAGAAAACAGGUGAUUGACGAAUUAGAAAAAGACCAAGAAGAAGCUCGUACUAAGAGGCUGGGCAUGUGGGAGUAUGGAGAUAUAAUGUCAGAUGACGAGGACAGUGCUCCAGUAAAGAAACCCAGUGGUGGCAGGAGGUGAAUACAUGGUUUUCUAGUAACCUAAAUAAUUUAGGUGAGAACAACAUAGGAUGAAAAGUGCUACAAGAAANAAGGAUGGCGAGGCUCCACCUAGUGCAGGCAGUCAGCCGACAGGGAUUAAUAUUGCUGAGUUAAUUAUUUCUCGCGGUUUUGGUGAAGUCAUUAAACAUCGUGAUCUUGAGGUAAGAUCAAAUUACUAUGAUUCCCUUCUUGCUGCCGAAUCGCGUGCCAAAGCUGGGAGGAAAGGGAUGUAUUCCGGCAAGGAUGCUCCAGUGAUGCACGUCAAUGACUUUAUAACGGUAAUAAUAAGACAUAAUCCAUUAUUAAUGCUUGGAAUGAUUCAUAUUAUUAACUUUCCACAAUAAAAUCUAUUGCAGGCUUCAUCUAAAAAAGCGAAAGAUUUCUUGCCAUUUUUGCAACGGAAUAGAAGGAUGACAGCUGUUGUGGAAUAUGUGUUUAGCGGUCACCGAUUUAAAUUAUAUAUUCCAAAGGAAACUUGCAGCAUCGCUUUCUCGAUCUCAGGAGUGAGAUGCCCAGGACGAGAUGAGCCUUAUUCCAGUGAAGCGAUUGCACUAAUGAGAAGGAAAAUCAUGCAGAGGGAUGUUGAGGUAGUGCAUAAUGUUUUUAUGAUUAUUUAUGUCCUAGUUAAUGUUCAUAAAUUCUCUUUAUAGUCUUUGAAUAAAUGCUUUCUCUUUUGCAGAUUGAAGUAGAAACUGUUGACAGAACAGGUACUUUUUUGGGAUCUUUGUGGGAGUCAAGAUCCAAUGUCGCAUUGAUACUACUCGAAGCUGGUUUGGCCAGGCUUCAAACCUCUUUUGGUACAGAUAGGAUACCUGAUAUCCACCUGCUUGUGCAGGCUGAGCAGUCUGCUAAGAAGCAGAAAUUGAAGGUGAGAUUGAGAAUUGUUAUCCUAGCACAACUAUCCCACUUUCUAAUGUUUCUUAUAGUUUCUUUUUCUUCUUGUUGAAGAUUUGGGAGAACUAUGUU
This 2613-nucleotide long non-coding RNA is filed under the name Daucus carota (carrot). Its description in RNAcentral is "long non-coding RNA (DCAR_LNC005213)". The record is from RNAcentral. Lineage: Eukaryota; Viridiplantae; Streptophyta; Magnoliopsida; Apiales; Apiaceae.